AGAGUUUGAUCAUGGCUCAGGACGAACGCUGGCGGCGUGCUUAACACAUGCAAGUCGAGCGGAAAGGCCCUUCGGGGUACUCGAGCGGCGAACGGGUGAGUAACACGUGAGUAACCUGCCCCAAACUUUGGGAUAACCCUCGGAAACGGGGGCUAAUACCGGAUAUGACACGGCUUCGCAUGGGGUUGUGUGGAAAGUUUUUCGGUUUGGGAUGGGCUCGCGGCCUAUCAGCUUGUUGGUGGGGUGAUGGCCUACCAAGGCGACGACGGGUAGCCGGCCUGAGAGGGCGACCGGCCACACUGGGACUGAGACACGGCCCAGACUCCUACGGGAGGCAGCAGUGGGGAAUAUUGCACAAUGGGCGGAAGCCUGAUGCAGCGACGCCGCGUGAGGGAUGACGGCCUUCGGGUUGUAAACCUCUUUCAGCAGGGACGAAGCGAGAGUGACGGUACCUGCAGAAGAAGCGCCGGCCAACUACGUGCCAGCAGCCGCGGUAAGACGUAGGGCGCGAGCGUUGUCCGGAUUUAUUGGGCGUAAAGAGCUCGUAGGCGGCUUGUCGCGUCGACCGUGAAAACUUGGGGCUCAACCCCAAGCCUGCGGUCGAUACGGGCAGGCUCGAGUUCGGUAGGGGAGACUGGAAUUCCUGGUGUAGCGGUGAAAUGCGCAGAUAUCAGGAGGAACACCGGUGGCGAAGGCGGGUCUCUGGGCCGAUACUGACGCUGAGGAGCGAAAGCGUGGGGAGCGAACAGGAUUAGAUACCCUAGUAGUCC
This 770-nucleotide ribosomal RNA is filed under the name uncultured bacterium. Its description in RNAcentral is "bacterial SSU rRNA". It matches the Rfam family "Bacterial small subunit ribosomal RNA", at positions 8 to 796 of the family's 1533-position model. The record is from RNAcentral.